AGGGAGCGAGUGUGAGGCAGCGUUGGUGUCCUGCCUUCCCCUGCCUGCUGGCUUCGCAUUCCGAGAACAGAGUCAACCCGGCAACCAUGAAGAAGCUCUGGCUACUCCUGGUGGCUCUCCUGGCUUGUGUGGGGACUACGGUUGCUACUGUCGAUGGAAAGAACCUUCAAGAUUUGGAUGCAGCAUCCCGUUAUUGGCCCUGCUUUAAAAAUUACUACGGAUGCCAUUCUGUCAUUGGUCAUUUGGUCCCUCAGAAGGAUGUUGAACUGAUUCCAGAGCAGCUGCCCCAGCCGACCUUGUGGUCCAUCUUGAAGGUCCCAAGGCUGGAACAGGAGGCUCCUGUGUCGAGUGCCAGGUCCAAGAGGAGUGUGAAGGCGGCCCCAGCACUGGGGAGGCGCAGGAAGCCCUGGGAGCGGCGUGUCUGCAGGGGCUGCUAUUCGGGGCUGAUGAUUUUAGGGCCCCCUCCCCAAGGAGGCCAAAACGAGAGCCUGGUGCUGAGUUACUCGGACUCCAGCGAGAAUUCCAGCGAAGGAAACUAGUCUCCUCCUCCUCCUGCAGGGCCACCCCCAGACCAGAGUCUGAAGAAGCCCAAACCUCCGACGGACCUUCUGAUGGAAACGCAAGACACCGAAACGCAAGCCCCAUGCAAAGUGGGGGUGGGGGGAGUCCAGCUCCAGAAGCAAAUGGGGCAAGCAGGAGGUGGGGCUGGCUCUCCCACCCCAGCCAUCGCCUGUCCUCCUGCAGCUCUUCCCCCCAAGCGCUUUUGGCCAGUCAAAAGGGCAAAGGGGCCUCCUCUUCUUCGGUCCUGCGUCCAGGGUCGGCCCAUCCACUAGGCAGAGCUAGGCAGUUGUCUUGGGCACCCAGGUUGGGGGUUUUUUUGGGGGGGUGUGUGCUUGCAUGCCUCCCUCUCCCUCCAAGCAACCACUGACAUGUCUGACUUGCUGGGAGUGCCCAUUCCCUCCCCUCCCCAGAGAGCGAGUGGGGCAGAGGCGCCCAAGCAGGGGCAAACAAGUGAGCAAAGCCAAGCUUGCCUCCCUUUGCUCUCUCCUGCCCCGAGCUCUCCCCAGUUAAAACGGGGGCCCCGCACUGCUUGGCUGGGGGUCCAGCUUUGCCUGGGCCACCUCUAAGCCUCGGACUGGCCCUGCCUGCCUUCCUCCCUUGCACACCCCUUUGGCUCAGCCCGGACUCCGCCCCCCCCAGCCCCGCCAGCCCCCUGCACCUUUCAUAUGAUCACGGCAGGCCGAGGUGUCAGCAGUCAGAUCAGCCACCGUCGGCUCUCGCAUCACUCGCCCGCCUCCUGAGCCAGAGCGACUCCCCCUCCAGGAGCCUUGGCCUUUCCAGCUGUGGCGGGAGGACAACUCUCGCCAUCCCAGGAUUGCUCACUGAAGUCCAACAACAGCUGGAGAGCCAAGGUGGCCCACCCCUGCCCUACCGCCUGUUCAUCGGCAGCAGAACGAAGGCCCGGAGGCUGCUCCCGGGUGGUGUGCAGCCAACACGCCUAGGCUGGGCACGGAGCCUGCAGCUGCCACACCUCACCCCCCAUUCAUGCCUUCAUCCUGCCCAAGGCAAGAUCAGCCGGGGCGCCUGCCUCCCUCCCUCCCCAGGCAGGCAAGUUGCCCCAGCAGCCAGGAGCGGUGUGGCCGUGCUUUUGGCACUGCAGCCGCCUGCAAGCCACAGCCCAACCUCCCCUUGCAACGAUUACUUUGGACCGUGCACGGCCGUUGGCCAGCCUUACAGGAUGUCACCUGUUUUGUCCCCAGCCCCAGUGGGAAAGGCCAGGUCCUCAGCCUUGAUUGUCUGCCCAGCCAGAGCUGGCAUUUGGGGACCGAAAUGCCCCAGAUGUCUUCUGAACGUAUUCAGAGGGCUGCCAGCAAGGAGCAGAGGCUUCCAGUGACAGUGUGGAGGGACUCCUUCAUGGCAAAGCCAAGGAAUUCCCUUUCAUUCUCUCCGAGUGAGUCGCAGCUCGUCCCAGCGGGGGCUGCCGCCCAAGGAGGCCCAGCUGCCUCUGCUUCCCGGCCGCAGCUGGGGUUGCUUGCUCCUCUCCGUCCUGCCCUGCUUGAGAGCCCCGCUGCCUGAAGGUUGGCAGUGAAUCCCGCCAUGCUACCGGGCAAGUGGCCGGCCUGCAGGCAGUGCAGAAGGAAAAGGAACCCGCAAUCCGGGCGGCAGCGGCGGCUGCUGGGAGGCAGAGGCAGCUGUGCCUCCUUGGACGCCUCCUGGCUUGCGCUGCUGCUCAGAGCAUUAGCCACACAGGCCCGAAACCUUUCUCAUCGAACCACAGAAGGCUGGUCUGCAUCAUCUAGAUUUUAAAUUGUUUGAAUUGUGUUAGUGUUUUAAUUAUUGUGUUUUAAAUUGUAAGCUGCCUGCAGAUUUGUACAUGGGGUGGUAGAGAGAUGUGCCAAAUGAAUGAGCAAAUAAAUAAUACUUAUUAUAUGUUGCCAACAAUCACACAUCAGCAUCAGGACUGAUGGUUCGAAUAAUAAUAAAAAAAUCAAAUGGA
Long non-coding RNA from Hemicordylus capensis (graceful crag lizard), 2497 nucleotides. RefSeq lists it as uncharacterized. The record is from RefSeq and is a predicted model, not a curated record. The transcript is spliced from 4 exons. NCBI's taxonomy places the organism in Eukaryota, Metazoa, Chordata, Lepidosauria, Squamata, Cordylidae.